AUUAAAAUGAAAGUGGGGCAUUGCAGUGGUGAAGAGGAGCAUGUAUCAGAAUACAACAAAUAGCACAGCUAUAGUUAAUAGAGCGGUAGAACAAAAAUAAGAUAAUGCAGCAAAUAAAGCAUAUUGUAAAUAAAGGUAUGACCUAUUUGCCAUGCCGCAUGUUGGUUUGAACAAGUUCUCACUUUGCUGAUUGCUGACAGAUUUACAGAUUGCGUAAUCAGGUGUAAAUGGAGUGUGAAAGUGUGAAAUUACGCUGAAAUCCAACAGAUUCUUUAAAAACCACACAGAUUCCUGACUCUGAGCCGAGUUGAGUGUUUUCCAUUUAAAACAUCCAGUGGUUGAGGAAGUAUUCAGAUCCUUUACUCAAGUAAAAGUACUAAAACCACAUUGUAAAAAUACUUUAUUACAAGUAAAAGUCCUGCAUUGAAAAUGUUACUUUAGUAAAAGAAUGUAAGUAUAAUCAGAAAAAUAUACUUAGUGUUAAAAGUAUUCAAAGGUAUUCAAAGAAAAAUGCCCG
Long non-coding RNA from Sebastes umbrosus (honeycomb rockfish), 517 nucleotides. RefSeq lists it as uncharacterized. The record is from RefSeq and is a predicted model, not a curated record. The transcript is spliced from 3 exons. NCBI's taxonomy places the organism in Eukaryota, Metazoa, Chordata, Actinopteri, Perciformes, Sebastidae.